AGAGUUUGAUCAUGGACUCAGAUUGAACGCUGGCGGCAUGCCUUACACAUGCAAGUCGAACGGCAGCACGGGAGCUUGCUCCUGGUGGCGAGUAGCGAACGGGUGAGUAAUACAUCGGAACGUACCCUGAAGUGGGGGAUAACGUAGCGAAAGUUACGCUAAUACCGCAUAUUCUGUGAGCAGGAAAGAGGGGGAUCGCAAGACCUCUUGCUUUAGGAGCGGCCGAUGUCGGAUUAGCUAGUUGGUGAGGUAAAGGCUCACCAAGGCGACGAUCCGUAGCGGGUCUGAGAGGAUGAUCCGCCACACUGGGACUGAGACACGGCCCAGACUCCUACGGGAGGCAGCAGUGGGGAAUUUUGGACAAUGGGCGCAAGCCUGAUCCAGCCAUGCCGCGUGAGUGAUGAAGGCCUUCGGGUUGUAAAGCCCUGUCGGGAGGGACGAAUUCUUGACGGUACCUCCAAAGAAAGCACCGGCUAACUCCGUG
Molecule: ribosomal RNA, 484 nt
Filed under: uncultured bacterium
Lineage: Bacteria
Description: bacterial SSU rRNA
Rfam family: Bacterial small subunit ribosomal RNA
Source: RNAcentral